This 1229-nucleotide long non-coding RNA is filed under the name Olea europaea subsp. europaea. The record is from RNAcentral. Lineage: Eukaryota; Viridiplantae; Streptophyta; Magnoliopsida; Lamiales; Oleaceae.
CUCCUAGUAAACCAUUCAUGAAAAGAAGGUCAAUUAAGAAGAAAAGAAAUAAGCUUGAGACUAAGAAACAAGUUACUACAGUGACGGCAUCUGCAAUUCAAUGAUAGUUCAGGAGCGAGUAAAUCGUUUCAAAUGUGAUUGGUGAGCACAUGCAUACAUUUAACUGGUUUUAAUUCAAAAUUAUAUUAUCGAUGUGCAGUUGUGGACUGAAAGUAGAGUUGUAACGCUUUCUCAAAACUGAACUUGAAAAAUCCAGUACCAUGAUUUUUGCUUCCCAAAAUGCUCAGGGGCGACGAUUGUAUUGGUCCUUGAGAGGUACUCAAUUCUUGUGCAUUGCAACAGUUCAAAUAGGAGUUCUUCAUUUGCGAUAUAGUCCAGUGUUUUCCCGCUGACUUGUUAAACAUUUUUGCGAUACUUUAUCAUCCUUUUGUGGAGAAGCAUUUGUCUUGUCGGCGGCCUUUGACAAUUACAGUUUUGCAAGUGGCAAUGACUACCUUGCACUCCGACGAGUUCCAUUUCCCAGACUUUCGCACCGUUGGUUGCGGAUCUUAAGGGUUGGAUGGCGCAAAGUGCAUCAGAUCUGCGCCACCAUUGGUGUUAUGUUGCAGGGAAAAUGUAUGAGAAGGAGUUCGGUGAAAAUUGAACAAACGAAGAACCUGAAUUAGUCGCACACGGAUGAAGGGAUGGGGAAAAAUUCUGAGACUACUCUCAAUCUUGCGACAUUUGAAGAAAUGUAAAGACAUGUCAAAUGCAGAAAAUGUUGGCAACUUUCACAAUGAAUAGAUUUUACACUUAGGGAAUAGGAGAAAAAUAUGACUGCAUUUGCAAAUAGCGAUGUAAUGUUGGCCCAAAACAAGAAGAGUAAAGAAAGUUUUACCAGGUGUUCGAGGAAUAGUUCUACUGUGGUCCGUAAUUUUCCAUUCUAUCCGGUGAACGUGUGGUGCAAGACUAUCGAUUUAAAGGAGGGGAAAAGCCCAGCGUCGAAUGGAUGAUGGGAGAGGACUUGGAGUGACGUGUUCGCCGGAUGGCUAAUUGAAAACCCAGGGAUUGUGGAAGAGCUAAUUUCCCGUCGGUAAAACACCCUACGAUGAAACUAGAGUGGUAGGACACAGCGUCCAUUUCCAUGUGAAGAGAUCCGAUUGCAAGUUCCUCAAACGGUAUGGUCUUGUUGUUAGGUAAGAUUAUUGGUAGGCUGAAAUGGUGAUGGCAUAACUGACAUUUGUAAUUAC